RNAcentral lists this ribosomal RNA (253 nucleotides) under uncultured bacterium. RNAcentral describes it as "partial 16S ribosomal RNA". It matches the Rfam family "Bacterial small subunit ribosomal RNA", at positions 524 to 776 of the family's 1533-position model. The record is from RNAcentral.
UACGGAGGGUGCAAGCGUUAUCCGGAUUCACUGGGUUUAAAGGGUGCGUAGGUGGGCAGGUAAGUCAGCGGUGAAAUCCCCGAGCUUAACUUGGGAACUGCCAUUGAUACUAUCUGUCUUGAAUACCUUGGAGGUGAGCGGAAUAUGUCAUGUAGCGGUGAAAUGCUUAGAUAUGACAUAGAACACCAAUUGCGAAGGCAGCUCACUGGACCGGUAUUGACGCUGAGGUGCGAAAGCGUGGGGAGCAAACAGG